RNAcentral lists this ribosomal RNA (753 nucleotides) under Bacillus sp. R185. RNAcentral's name for it is "bacterial SSU rRNA". It matches the Rfam family "Bacterial small subunit ribosomal RNA", at positions 40 to 777 of the family's 1533-position model. Lineage: Bacteria; Bacillati; Bacillota; Bacilli; Caryophanales; Bacillaceae. The record is from RNAcentral.
CGGCGUGCUAUACUGCAAGUCGAGCGAAUGGAUUAAGAGCUUGCUCUUAUGAAGUUAGCGGCGGACGGGUGAGUAACACGUGGGUAACCUGCCCAUAAGACUGGGAUAACUCCGGGAAACCGGGGCUAAUACCGGAUAACAUUUUGAACCGCAUGGUUCGAAAUUGAAAGGCGGCUUCGGCUGUCACUUAUGGAUGGACCCGCGUCGCAUUAGCUAGUUGGUGAGGUAACGGCUCACCAAGGCAACGAUGCGUAGCCGACCUGAGAGGGUGAUCGGCCACACUGGGACUGAGACACGGCCCAGACUCCUACGGGAGGCAGCAGUAGGGAAUCUUCCGCAAUGGACGAAAGUCUGACGGAGCAACGCCGCGUGAGUGAUGAAGGCUUUCGGGUCGUAAAACUCUGUUGUUAGGGAAGAACAAGUGCUAGUUGAAUAAGCUGGCACCUUGACGGUACCUAACCAGAAAGCCACGGCUAACUACGUGCCAGCAGCCGCGGUAAUACGUAGGUGGCAAGCGUUAUCCGGAAUUAUUGGGCGUAAAGCGCGCGCAGGUGGUUUCUUAAGUCUGAUGUGAAAGCCCACGGCUCAACCGUGGAGGGUCAUUGGAAACUGGGAGACUUGAGUGCAAAAGAGGAAAGUGGAAUUCCNUGUGUAGCGGUGAAAUGCGUUAAGAUAUGGAGGAACACCAGUGGCGAAGGCGAUUUUCUGCCCUGUAACCGACCCUCAUGCGCGAAAACAGGCGGAGAAACACGA